Non-coding RNA from Plenodomus tracheiphilus IPT5, 113 nucleotides. The record is from the annotation of a GenBank genome assembly. NCBI's taxonomy places the organism in Eukaryota, Fungi, Ascomycota, Dothideomycetes, Pleosporales, Leptosphaeriaceae.
GCUGGUUUGGCGCAGUGGUAACGCGUAGCACUUGUAUAAUCAAAAGAAUUUCCCCUAAUUCUACAAAAAAAAUCGCAAUGCUAAGACCGCUUGUUCGAUUCAGGCAAUCAGCA